RNAcentral lists this ribosomal RNA (253 nucleotides) under uncultured bacterium. RNAcentral describes it as "partial 16S ribosomal RNA". It matches the Rfam family "Bacterial small subunit ribosomal RNA", at positions 524 to 776 of the family's 1533-position model. The record is from RNAcentral.
UACGUAGGUGGCAAGCGUUGUCCGGAUUUAUUGGGUUUAAAGGGUGCGUAGGCGGUCAUGUAAGUCAGUGCUGAAAUAUCCCGGCUUAACCGGGAGGGUGGCAUUGAUACUGUAUGACUUGAGUAAAGUUGAGGUUGGCGGAAUUGACGGUGUAGCGGUGAAAUGCUUAGAUAUCGUCAAGAACACCUAUUGCGAAGGCAGCUAACUAAGCUUUAACUGACGCUGAGGCACGAAAGCGUGGGGAUCAAACAGG